RNAcentral lists this ribosomal RNA (259 nucleotides) under uncultured bacterium. Its description in RNAcentral is "partial 16S ribosomal RNA". It matches the Rfam family "Bacterial small subunit ribosomal RNA", at positions 524 to 782 of the family's 1533-position model. The record is from RNAcentral.
UACGUAGGGUGCAAGCGUUAAUCGGAAUUACUGGGCGUAAAGCGUGCGCAGGCGGUUUUGUAAGUCUGACGUGAAAUCCCCGGGCUCAACCUGGGAAUUGCGUUGGAGACUGCAAGGCUAGAAUCUGGCAGAGGGGGGUAGAAUUCCACGUGUAGCAGUGAAAUGCGUAGAGAUGUGGAGGAACACCGAUGGCGAAGGCAGCCCCCUGGGUCAAGAUUGACGCUCAUGCACGAAAGCGUGGGGAGCAAACGAGGAUACG